CUAGUUUCAAUACCCAGUCCGCCGACCGGAAGAAGAGGCCGCUGAACACCAACGAAGAAGCGCCCACCGCCGGAAGUGUUAGCAUAGCCGAGCCUACUGUAUGUAGCCGAGCGAGUCAGUCAAGCAUGGAUAGCGGGCGUCGGCGGCCAAAAGUGUGGCUUUAUUUUACUAAAAAAAAUUGAAAUAUCGGCGAAAUGUAACACGUGCGACAGGACUGUUUCCUGCUUAGGAGGGUGCACGUCGAACAUGAUGAAGCACCUCCGAGUUCAUGGAGUACAAAUAAAUGCGUGUCCCGUCUUCGACGCGCUGCGCUGACCGUCCUCCUCUGCCUCUUCCUCUGGCUCCGGCUCCGACGCCCAGCCUGGUACCUCGGUGACUGCACUGCAGUCCGAAUCCGACAAUUUAGAACCUGCUAGCCAGGCUCUGCGAUGUGCUCAGCGUACUCCGUUCACCCUAGCGGCAAUGGGGAAGAUGUCGGUGCCACAGACGGAAGAGUGCCACAGAAAGGUCACUGCACACAUAGUCAAAAGACUGCAUCCCUUUUCAGAGGUGGAAUCUCCAACAUUUAGGGAUAUGGUGAAAACUCUCAACCCAAAAUACAUACCACCUUCCAGGGACUACCUGGCAAACACAUUGAUCCCGGCAUGGUACAAGAAGAAUCGGAAUCGAGAAUCGUCAGGAAUCGGAAUCGUUCCAAUUCAAACGAUGCCCAACCCUAACUGAGAGCAAGAAUGUUACAACUCAAUUUUCAGACCUCCUCAGUAAAAUCGUCCCCAUCCCCAUGAUUUAAACAUCCACGCUGAUAAUCCCACACAGUGCUUUAAAAAUGAAUUUUUGGACCUGAUAGACUCUUUUGGUCUCACCCAACACUUUUCCGUCCCAACCCAUAAAAAGGGUCACACCUUAGAUCUUGUCCUCUCUGUCAAUCUCCCUGUCAGCAAUAUGAAUAAUACUAAUAAUAAUAAUAAUAAUGGAUUAGAUUUCAUAGCACACUUUUCUAUUUUUAGGUACUCAAAGCGCUCACAGAGAGGUGAGAACCCAUCAUUCUUUCACACCUGGUAGUGGUAAUCUACAUUUGUAGCCACAGCUGCCCUGGUGUAGACUGACGGAAGCCAGGCUGCCAGUUUGCGCCUACGGCCCCUCCGACCACCACUUAUCAUUCAUUCACCAGUGUGAGCGGCACCGGGGGCAAGGGUGAAGUGUCCUGCCCAAGGACACAAUGGCAGUGAUUUGGAUGUCUUGAGGCGGGGAGCGAACCUGCAACCCUGAGGUUUCUGGCACGGCCGCUCUACCCACUACGACAGGGGUAGGGAACCUAUGGCUCUAGAGCCAGAUGUGGCUCUUUUGAUGACUGCACCUGGCUCUCAGAUAAAUCUUAGCUGACAUUGCUUAACACGGUAAGUAAUGAAUAAUUCCGCUGGUAAUCACAGUGUCAAAAUAAUGUUCAAAAUACAAAAAAUUCUUAUGCAUUUUCAUCCAUCCAUCCGGUUUCCACUGCACCUGUUCAAGAAGUGUAAGAAUACAUGCAAGAAGUAUUUUAUCUAUUGUUGGUUAGCUUCAGAAUAACAAUGUUAUUAAAAAAAAAUAA
Long non-coding RNA from Nerophis ophidion (straightnose pipefish), 1588 nucleotides. RefSeq lists it as uncharacterized. Lineage: Eukaryota; Metazoa; Chordata; Actinopteri; Syngnathiformes; Syngnathidae. The transcript is spliced from 3 exons. The record is from RefSeq and is a predicted model, not a curated record.